RNAcentral lists this ribosomal RNA (777 nucleotides) under uncultured Neocallimastigales. RNAcentral's name for it is "partial large subunit ribosomal RNA". It matches the Rfam family "Eukaryotic large subunit ribosomal RNA", at positions 23 to 634 of the family's 3401-position model. The record is from RNAcentral. Lineage: Eukaryota; Fungi; Neocallimastigomycota; Neocallimastigomycetes; Neocallimastigales.
AGAGAGAGACAUGCGCGCAUAUCAAUAAGCGGAGGAAAAGAAACUAACAAGGAUUCCCUUAGUAACGGCGAGUGAAGCGGGAAGAGCUCAAAUUUGAAAUCUUCAAGGUUUUACCUUGACGAAUUGUAGUUUAAAGAAGUGCUUUUCUGCUGAAGUUUUGGUAAAAGUUCUUUGGAAUAGGACAUCAUAGAGGGUGAGAAUCCCGUAUUUGACCAUUAUUUUCAGCUUUGUGAUACACUUUCAAAGAGUCGGAUUGUUUGGGAAUGCAGUCCAAAAUGGGUGGUAAAUUUCAUCUAAAGCUAAAUAUUGGCGAGAGACCGAUAGCGAACAAGUACCGUGAGGGAAAGAUGAAAAGAACUUUGAAAAGAGAGUUAAACAGUACGUGAAAUUGUCAAAAGGGAAGCGUUUGACACCAGUGUUGUUUUCUCGAAAAUCAAUUAAAAAUGGCUCGAUUUUGUAUUGUUGAGACCUUAAAAGCUCACUGUACAUUUUUCGUGUCUUUUUUAAUGCACUUUUCGUUUAACAAGUCAACAUCAGUUUCUUUUGUUGUAAAAGGGUCAUUGGAAGGUGGCUUUCUUUUCGGAGAAAGUGUUUAUAGCCUUUGGCCUCUGCAAUCGGAGAGAUUGAGGUCUGCAGCGUAGACUCCUUCGGGGUUAGAUACAUUUGUGCUAAGUUAUAGCCUUUUCAUAGACAACUUGUUGACUAUGAUCAGUCAUGUAGCUUACUCGCUUAUGCUAUUUUACCUACGCUUAGGAUGUUGAGUCGUAGAGCACGCAG